This 478-nucleotide ribosomal RNA is filed under the name uncultured bacterium. RNAcentral describes it as "partial 16S ribosomal RNA". It matches the Rfam family "Bacterial small subunit ribosomal RNA", at positions 28 to 523 of the family's 1533-position model. The record is from RNAcentral.
GACGAACGCUGGCGGCGUGCUUAACACAUGCAAGUCGAGCGAUGAAGCUCCUUCGGGAGUGGAUUAGCGGCGGACGGGUGAGUAACACGUGGGCAACCUGCCUUAUAGAGAGGAAUAGCCAUUCGAAAGGAUGAUUAAUACCUCAUAAUAUUGUAGCUUCGCAUGGAGCAACAAUCAAAGGAGCAAUCCACUAUAAGAUGGGCCCGCGGCGCAUUAGCUAGUUGGUGAGGUAACGGCUCACCAAGGCGACGAUGCGUAGCCGACCUGAGAGGGUGAUCGGCCACAUUGGGACUGAGACACGGCCCAGACUCCUACGGGAGGCAGCAGUGGGGAAUAUUGCACAAUGGGGGAAACCCUGAUGCAGCAACGCCGCGUGAGUGAUGACGGCCUUCGGGUUGUAAAGCUCUGUCUUCAGGGACGAUAAUGACGGUACCUGAGGAGGAAGCCACGGCUAACUACGUGCCAGCAGCCGCCGUAA